Molecule: long non-coding RNA, 1150 nt
Organism: Acanthopagrus latus (yellowfin seabream)
Lineage: Eukaryota; Metazoa; Chordata; Actinopteri; Spariformes; Sparidae
Exons: 2
Source: RefSeq, a predicted model, not a curated record
CCAGAUUAUCGCGUCUGUUUCUGGGAGACUCGUUCACGUAUUGUUGUUUCUUGGCUUUUUCUACCUUCUGAUCCAAGCCUGUUUUUUUUUUUUUUGACUGUGAUUUUUGCCUGAUGAUUUUGGAUACCUUUGCUCUGUUGCCAGCCCUGUUUCAGUUCAACCAUUAUCUUGAGUGUCUGCGAUCACAGCAGAAGGAUCGGGGCUUCGUCAUGAGGAGAGCCGGAAACAUUUUGCUGUCCAUCCUGAGCUAAACAGUUGGAUAACACUCAGCAACUUAAGUUUCUUUGCCUUUGCAGUUUGUAUCAAACAACAUUUACAGUAAAGUUGGUGAAGCCCGCAACAUUUUUUUUUUACACCGGCCCAACACUGUAGCCCAUUCAGAAGUAGAUAGACGUAUGAGACCAAAAAUCUGGCACGCUCCCGGUGCAGGACAGUGUGGAAUAUGAGAGGAGGCUGCACGGGGAAAAGGGAGCUACUGGUGGAGGAAAUUUGGCAAAGUCGUGGUCUGGGCUUGAUGCUGCUGCCUGUGCUCUGGAGCUAAAUUGGCUGGUGUGAAAGGAAGGACGGCCAAAUCCCCUAACCCAGAACAAAUAUGUCCAGCUAACUGGCUUCGCUGCCUACCACUAGUUUCAUUUCAAUGAAGUGGGCACAGCAAAGGACUUUUUAAAGCUUUAGAAAUGUAACUUUUUUUUUAUUGAAGCUGAUGCAUGUUAUAAAGUCUGGAUCUGUGUUUUAAAAAGAAAAGUUCAGACUUAACAGAUGGAACCACUGACAGAAGAGGAACAUCUGCUUUUAAAGUGUUUAAUCGCCUCAAAAUUUUGUAUCUUUUGCCUCUGCUGUUUAUUUAGGGAGGUUGUAUUUACAAUGUGACUUCACCUCUCAAGUUCAAAUUACAGCAUGUCAUACAUACUUUUUUUUUUUUCUUUGAAGAUAUGCACUGUCUGUGAGCAGAUGGAACAGCUGAUUGGCAGAACCAUGAAGCAGAUUUAAAGAUGUGCUGCUGACUUUUAUAACACCGUUUUGGUUUUGCACCAUUCGGGCUCAUCAGUACUUCUUGAGGUGUAGCAACACAUUUUUUCAUGUCAUAUGUGAUACAUUUUAUUUAAAAAGAUGUAAAUUCAGUUAAUUUCUUUAAAUGUCACUCACACCA